This 847-nucleotide ribosomal RNA is filed under the name Brevibacterium sp. RNAcentral's name for it is "bacterial SSU rRNA". It matches the Rfam family "Bacterial small subunit ribosomal RNA", at positions 56 to 913 of the family's 1533-position model. The record is from RNAcentral. Lineage: Bacteria; Bacillati; Actinomycetota; Actinomycetes; Micrococcales; Brevibacteriaceae.
UGCAGUCGAACGCUGAAGCCUGGUGCUUGCACCGGGUGGAUGAGUGGCGAACGGGUGAGUAACACGUGAGUAACCUGCCCCUGACUUCGGGAUAAGCCCGGGAAACUGGGUCUAAUACCGGAUACGACUGCCGGACGCAUGUCUGGUGGUGGAAAGUUUUUUCGGUUGGGGAUGGGCUCGCGGCCUAUCAGUUUGUUGGUGAGGUAAUGGCUCACCAAGACGACGACGGGUAGCCGGCCUGAGAGGGCGACCGGCCACACUGGGACUGAGACACGGCCCAGACUCCUACGGGAGGCAGCAGUGGGGAAUAUUGCACAAUGGGGGAAACCCUGAUGCAGCGACGCAGCGUGCGGGAUGACGGCCUUCGGGUUGUAAACCGCUUUCAGCAGGGAAGAAGCGCAAGUGACGGUACCUGCAGAAGAAGUACCGGCUAACUACGUGCCAGCAGCCGCGGUAAUACGUAGGGUACGAGCGUUGUCCGGAAUUAUUGGGCGUAAAGAGCUCGUAGGUGGUUGGUCACGUCUGCUGUGGAAACGCAACGCUUAACGUUGCGCGUGCAGUGGGUACGGGCUGACUAGAGUGCAGUAGGGGAGUCUGGAAUUCCUGGUGUAGCGGUGAAAUGCGCAGAUAUCAGGAGGAACACCGGUGGCGAAGGCGGGACUCUGGGCUGUAACUGACACUGAGGAGCGAAAGCAUGGGGAGCGAACAGGAUUAGAUACCCUGGUAGUCCAUGCCGUAAACGUUGGGCACUNNNGUGGGGGGGCAUUCCACGUUCUCCGCGCCGNNNUAACGCAUUANNGCCCCGCCUGGGGAGUACGGUCGCAANGCUAAACUCAAAGGNNAUUGA